RNAcentral lists this ribosomal RNA (468 nucleotides) under uncultured bacterium. RNAcentral's name for it is "partial 16S ribosomal RNA". It matches the Rfam family "Bacterial small subunit ribosomal RNA", at positions 28 to 507 of the family's 1533-position model. The record is from RNAcentral.
GACGAACGCUGGCGGCGUGCUUAACACAUGCAAGUCGAACGAAAAGGGAUUGAUGCUGUGGGGUACUAGAGUGGCGAACGGACGAGUGACUAGCGCGUAACCAACCUUCGCUUUAGGGGUAAACAAAAGAAAGUGAGGAUAAUUAAGGAUGGGUGCGACUGAAGCAUGGUAGGGGGGGGAGAGUUUCGGCGGUUGAGGCAGGACUGGCGGCAUAUCAGCUUGUGGGUGGGGUAGUGGAUUACGUAGGCGGUGACGGGUAGCCGGACUGAGAGGGUGACCGGCCACAGUGGGACUGAGAUACGGCCCGGACUCCUACUGGAGGCAGCGGUGAGGAAUUGUCGACGAUGGGCGGAAGCCGGAAUCAGCAACGCCGCGUUGGAGAGGACUGCCUUCGGGUUGGAAACCGCUUUUUCCUAUUAGGAAGCGUGAGUGACGGUAAUGGGUAAGGAAGCAACGGCUAACUACGUG